This 107-nucleotide small nucleolar RNA is filed under the name Nannospalax galili (Upper Galilee mountains blind mole rat). Its description in RNAcentral is "Small nucleolar RNA SNORA40 (ENSNGAG00000006284.1)". It matches the Rfam family "Small nucleolar RNA SNORA40". Rfam says of the family: The snoRNA ACA 40 belongs to the H/ACA family of snoRNAs and guides the pseudouridylation of 28S rRNA subunit at position U4565. Lineage: Eukaryota; Metazoa; Chordata; Mammalia; Rodentia; Spalacidae. The record is from Rfam by way of RNAcentral.
UGUGUGUCUGCUUGUUGAAGUUGUGCAUACACAGUAUAAAAAUAAAUCUUUUGCAACUCAGAACCCAUUGCUCAGUGUGAGUUUUGAUACAUACAAGAAGGGAUGAU